AUUGAACGCUGGCGGCAGGCUUAACACAUGCAAGUCGAGCGGAGAUGAGGUGCUUGCACCUUAUCUUAGCGGCGGACGGGUGAGUAAUGCUUAGGAAUCUGCCUAUUAGUGGGGGACAACAUUCCGAAAGGAAUGCUAAUACCGCAUACGUCCUACGGGAGAAAGCAGGGGAUCUUCGGACCUUGCGCUAAUAGAUGAGCCUAAGUCGGAUUAGCUAGUUGGUGGGGUAAAGGCCUACCAAGGCGACGAUCUGUAGCGGGUCUGAGAGGAUGGUCCGCCACACUGGGACUGAGACACGGCCCAGACUCCGACGGGAGGCAGCAGGGGGGAAUAUUGGACAAUGGGGGGAACCCUGAUCCAGCCAUGCCGCGUGUGUGAAGAAGGCCUUAUGGUUGUAAAGCACUUUAAGCGAGGAGGAGGCUACUGAGACUAAUACUCUUGGAUAGUGGACGUUACUCGCAGAAUAAGCACCGGCUAACUCUGUGCCAGCCGCCGCCGUAA
This 501-nucleotide ribosomal RNA is filed under the name uncultured bacterium. RNAcentral's name for it is "partial 16S ribosomal RNA". It matches the Rfam family "Bacterial small subunit ribosomal RNA", at positions 30 to 523 of the family's 1533-position model. The record is from RNAcentral.